Petromyzon marinus (sea lamprey) is the source of this 466-nucleotide non-coding RNA. The record is from RefSeq and is a predicted model, not a curated record. NCBI's taxonomy places the organism in Eukaryota, Metazoa, Chordata, Hyperoartia, Petromyzontiformes, Petromyzontidae.
CUGGUAACCAAUCACAGCCCCGCGCUAGUCCAUCAACCCCUCACUCCUCCCGUGGACCAAUCGGAGCGCGCGGUGCUGUCGCCAUAGGGGGUGGCGGUCUCCAUGAGGUUGCAGUCUUCACGAUGAGUCCCAAGCACGUCGACUGGCUCCUGGCAUCGUUGCUGUUGGUCACCGUCUGCCUAUCGUGGGUGUUUGUGAUCUACGCUGGGCAAGUCGCCGCCCGGAAACAGCUACAAAGUUACCUGCAACAACCCUGACGCCUCAACACGAGUUGCCUGCAACUUGAGUUGCCUGCAACUCAAGUUGCCUGCAACAACUCAAACCCUGACGCCUCAACACGAGUCGCCUGCAACUCAAGUUGCCUGCAACCCGAGUCGCCUGCAACUCAAGUCGCCUGCAACUCAAGAACCGGUCUCCAAAUUCAGUGUCUCGUCAGCAACAAGUUGAAUAAAUGUUGGCAACCUCA